This 460-nucleotide ribosomal RNA is filed under the name uncultured bacterium. RNAcentral describes it as "partial 16S ribosomal RNA". It matches the Rfam family "Bacterial small subunit ribosomal RNA", at positions 338 to 795 of the family's 1533-position model. The record is from RNAcentral.
CCUACGGGGGACAGCAGUGAGGAAUAUUGGUCAAUGGGCGGAAGCCUGAACCAGCCAAGUCGCGUGCAGGAUGACGGCCCUACGGGUUGUAAACUGCUUUUAUACGGGAAUAACGCGCCUUACGUGUAGUGCUUUGCAUGUACCGUAUGAAUAAGGACCGGCUAAUUCCGUGCCAGCAGCCGCGGUAAUACGGAAGGUCCGGGCGUUAUCCGGAUUUAUUGGGUUUAAAGGGAGCGUAGGCCGGAUGUCAAGCGUGCUGUGAAAUUUCCGGGCUCAACCCCGGCCUUGCAGUGCAAACUGGCGUGCUUGAGUCCGCGGAAAGCAGGCGGAAUUCGUGGUGUAGCGGUGAAAUGCAUAGAUAUGACGAAGAACCCCGAUUGCGAAGGCAGCUUGCUGCAGCGGAACUGACGCUGAUGCUCGAAAGCGCGGGUAUCGAACAGGAUUAGAUACCCUUGUAGUC